This 253-nucleotide ribosomal RNA is filed under the name uncultured bacterium. RNAcentral's name for it is "partial 16S ribosomal RNA". It matches the Rfam family "Bacterial small subunit ribosomal RNA", at positions 524 to 776 of the family's 1533-position model. The record is from RNAcentral.
UACGUAGGUGGCAAGCGUUAUCCGGAAUUAUUGGGUGUAAAGGGUGCGUAGGCGGGGUGUAAAGUCAGGUGUGAAAUCUGAGAGCUCAACUCUCAGACUGCAUUUGAAACUUACACUCUUGAGUGAAGUAGAGGCAAGCGGAAUUCCCAGUGUAGCGGUGAAAUGCGUAGAUAUUGGGAGGAACACCAGUGGCGAAGGCGGCUUGCUGGGCUUUUACUGACGCUGAGGCACGAAAGUGUGGGGAGCAAACAGG